ACUUUAAUUUUAUACCAAACCCAAUAUUAUAAAAACCCAGAAACCCAAGCACAAAAAGAUUCACCACACUCUCUUUACCAAUGGUCUCUCCCGGAACCUUUAAAUGGUGUCUGGACCCCCGGGGAAACAUUUGCCCAAACACCUUGAAGAGGACACAGGCAAGAAAGGGUGGGAUCCUUCUGGGAUCUCCGCCCCCCUCCAGUGCACACCUGAAGCAAUCAACACCACCUGUUGGUCGUCUGCUGGCUUCUGAGAGCAAACCUUCAGUCUUCGCCUGGGAGUUGAACUAACCGUCGUAGCGAAAGCUGUCUGCUUUCCUGGUGUUGUCCUCCUUUGCACAGAAGCCCUGGAGUUUAUAUCUGGGAGAGGGAAACUGUGUGCGAGAGAUGUGUGGAGGAGAAUCUGUUCCUGUGUCAAGCAUGAUCGCAAACACUGGAUUUCACCACCGGACCUCGAAAUGGUUUUACUUUGUUUCUGUAAUUUCAAAACUUUAUGGUGUCAAAAAAGUAAAAGAAGAAUAUCAAAAUUAAGUUUGAAAUAAGAAAAACAAACUUAACUCUCAUAAUAGGUUCCAGUGCAAUAUUUACAAACUAAAGGUUAUAGAUGGGUCCCUUAUUUAUUCUAAUGAUGUGGACACACUCUCAACAGAGAACACGGUGCUGAACUCCCCCCAAAACCACACACAGCAAGCAAUUAAAAUGUGAAUGUACUGAGGCGGCAUGCACUCUGACACACACAUGCUAACAAUUUAUCCUCCCAUUAUUAUAAUAGUAGAUCAUCUUCUCUCCUAUUAAGACACACACACUCAUGCAGUCUGCUAUGGUGACUCACUCCAUUUCUUUUUUGUGUGGGAGCGCUGAUGAGCUCAGUGCAGUCUUUGAAGAGAUGACACGCCACGUCCGAUAUAUAAAGGGCUUUAACGGCUAAUCAAGCAGGAAGGUACUUUAUCUAAGCCUUACAUGCGCAGCCUCAGAACUGGGUAUGACUUCAUGCUGCAGGCCUCUGGGUCACGAUGGCUCAGAGACUGCCAUGAAUUUAUUUUGUGCUUGUUGUUUGACAUGUUUGUUUUGCAGGGGAAAUGAAAAGGAUAAGCACUCCCCCAAACAAAAGUAACUGACAACAAGAAGACAGACCAUGACAGACAAAGAAAGGCAGUGUGGAGCUAGCGUUAGACACUGAGACUGCAUAACGAGUCUGUUUCAGUAUCAUGUUUUAGAAGCAACAGAUUUGUUCAGAAAUGUGUUUUUGUUUUGUUUGUCUGCUUAUUUCUUGUAAUUCCUAUUAUUGUUGUUGAUGAGGCCAGAGAGUAAACACCAGAUCAUCAGGUCAAGUUUGCCAACAUUUGGCAAGUUUGGGUUAUCGCUAAACUCACACUACACCUACGGUUGAUGACAAAAUUGUGAAUAUUUAGUAAUAAAUCAGAACAGUGUGAAAAAAACCUAUCAUUACUUGUUGACAGAAACUGACUUAUUAGUUUUUACAUAUUUGCAACAAUUCGUGCAAUAUUUUAGACUUACCCAAACGGCACUGCCCAGAGGCCAUCAGUGUCUGUACAAAAUGUACCCAUACAGCUUGUAGGUGUCAAGAUAUUUCUCAGUAUAAAUUAAAAUCUGGUCAUGCCAGAGAAAUUAGAUGAGUAAUGAUUUGAAUCACUAUGGGUCAGCAUGCGGGGUCCAUGAA
Long non-coding RNA from Oreochromis niloticus (Nile tilapia), 1680 nucleotides. RefSeq lists it as uncharacterized. The transcript has 2 exons. Lineage: Eukaryota; Metazoa; Chordata; Actinopteri; Cichliformes; Cichlidae. The record is from RefSeq and is a predicted model, not a curated record.